AGUCGCACCGCUUCUUUCCUCCCGAGUGCUUGCACUCAAUUGGAAAGAGGAGUGGCGGACGGGUGAGUAACACGUGGGUAACCUACCCAUCACAGGGGGAUAACACUUGCAAACAGGUGCUAAUACCGCACAACAGUUUAUGCCGCAUGGCAUAAGAGUGAAAGGCGCUUUCGGGUGUCGCUGAUGGAUGGACCCGCGGUGCAUUACCUAGUUGGUGAGGUAACGGCUCACCAAGGCCACGAUGCAUAGCCUACCUGAGAGGGUGAUCGGCCACACUGGGACUGAGACACGGCCCAGACUCCUACGGGAGGCAGCAGUAGGGAAUCUUCGGCAAUGGACGAAAGUCUGACCGAGCAACGCCGCGUGAGUGAAGAAGGUUUUCGGAUCGUAAAACUCUGUUGUUAGAGAAGAACAAGGACGUUAGUAACUGAACGUCCCCUGACGGUAUCUAACCAGAAAGCCACGGCUAACUACGUGCCAGCAGCCGCGGUAAUACGUAGGUGGCAAGCGUUGUUCCGGAUUUAUUGGGCGUAAAGCGAGCCGCAGGCGGUUUCUUAAAGUCUGAUGUGAAAGCCCCCGGCUUCAACCGGGGGAGGGUCAUUGGGAAACUGGGGAGACUUGAGUGCAGAAAGAGGGAGAGGUGGGAAUUUCCAUUGUGUAGGCGGGUGAAAUUGCGUAGAUAUAU
Molecule: ribosomal RNA, 685 nt
Filed under: Enterococcus faecalis
Lineage: Bacteria; Bacillati; Bacillota; Bacilli; Lactobacillales; Enterococcaceae
Description: bacterial SSU rRNA
Rfam family: Bacterial small subunit ribosomal RNA
Source: RNAcentral